This 21-nucleotide non-coding RNA is filed under the name Caenorhabditis elegans. Lineage: Eukaryota; Metazoa; Nematoda; Chromadorea; Rhabditida; Rhabditidae. The record is from RNAcentral.
UCUCUCUUUGAUCCACAAAAC